AAGCGUGCGCAGGCGGCCUUUGCAAGACAGAUGUGAAAUCCCCGGGCUCAACCUGGGAACUGCAUUUGUGACUGCAAGGCUAGAGUACGGCAGAGGGGGAUGGAAUUCCGCGUGUAGCAGUGAAAUGCGUAGAUAUGCGGAGGAACACCAAUGGCGAAGGCAAUCCCCUGGGCCUGUACUGACGCUCAUGCACGAAAGCGUGGGGAGCAAACAGGAUUAGAUACCCUUGU
This 230-nucleotide ribosomal RNA is filed under the name uncultured bacterium. RNAcentral describes it as "partial 16S ribosomal RNA". It matches the Rfam family "Bacterial small subunit ribosomal RNA", at positions 563 to 791 of the family's 1533-position model. The record is from RNAcentral.